This 40-nucleotide ribosomal RNA is filed under the name Xanthoconium separans. Its description in RNAcentral is "partial 28S ribosomal RNA". The record is from RNAcentral. Lineage: Eukaryota; Fungi; Basidiomycota; Agaricomycetes; Boletales; Boletaceae.
GUUUGACCUCAAAUCAGGUAGGAMUACCCSCUGAACUUAA